AAAUAUCCAACAAUGAUAGACUGGAUUAAGAAAAUGUGGCACAUAUACACCACGGAAUACUAUGCAGCCAUAAAAAAUGAUGAGUUCAUGUCCUUUGUAGAGACAUGGAUGAAACUGGAAAUCAUCAUUCUCAGUAAACUAUCGCAAGAACAAAAAACCAAACACCACAUAUUCUCACUCAUAGGUGGGAAUUGAACAAUGAGAUCACAUGGACACAGGAAGGGGAAUAUCACACUCUGGGGACUGUUGUGGGGUUGGGGGAGGGGAGAGGGAUAGCAUUGGGAGAUAUACCUAAGGCUAGAUGAUGAGUUAGUGGGUGCAGCGCACCAGCAUGGCACAUGUAUACAUAUGUAACUAACCUGCACAAUGUGCACAUGUACCCUAAAACUUAAAGUAUAAUAAAAAAAAAAAGAAUGAAAUUAAGAUGAUUGGCUAAACCAGCGACUCCCAAAAUGUGGCCCCUGCAUCAGUAACAUCAGCACCACUUGGGAAUUAUUAGAAAUGCAAAUUAUUGAGCUUCAUCUCAGCCAAUAAAAUCAGAAACUCUGAGGGCGGGGCCCUGCAGUCUAUGGCUUAAUGGGCCCUCCAGGUGAUCCUGAUGCAACCAGAAGUUUAGAACCAGCCAAGUAGCUUAGAUUAAUAAACUUGCAUUUCUGGUGCUAUGGUUUGGAUGCAUGUCCCUCCAAAUCUUAUGCUGGAAUUUUAUCCCCAGUUUUGGAGAUGGGGCCUUGUGGAAGAUGUUUGGCUCAUAGGGAUGGAGCCCUCAUGAAUGUCUUGGUCUCAUCCUCAUGGUUAUGAGUGAAUUCUCAAUUCUCACUCUGUUAGUUCCCCCCAAGAGCUGAUUGUUUAAGAGACCUGACACCUUCCCAUUCUCUUUUGUUUCCUCUCUCACCAUGUGAUCAUUGCACACCUUGGCUCUCCUUCACCUUCCAACGUGAGUGAAAGCUUCCUGAAGCCCUCACCAGAAGCAGAUGCAGGAGCCAUGCUUCUUGUACAGCCUGCAGAACUAGGCAAAUGAACUGAUGAACCUGGCAGAUUUCCCAUCUUCAAACAAUGAUGGUUCAUGCUGACACUCUGUCCCUGGCUGCAGAGGGCACCUCUUUUUUUGUUCACCUGACAAAAAACAACAAUUGGAUUGGUCUCUCCCAGACCACGUGGUCCUCACAGGCUGCCCAUCAUGGGCCUCAACUCCCCUGACCACGUGGGACAGGCACAAGACCCACAGUACUCUGUUCAGACUCUCUCUCAGGCAUCUGAAAUUUCCAUGGAGACAGAAGGACAAAAGGACAGAGCUGUCUUUUCAACAAAUGUUGCUGGGAGAACUGGAUAUCUACUUGCCGAAGAAUGAAGUCAUACCCUUAUCUCACAGUAUCUACAAAAACUAGCUUAAAAUAGACUAAAGAGCUAAACGGAAAAGUUAAAAUUAUAAAACAUAAGGAGAAAGCUUCAUGGCAUUGGAUUUGGCAGUGAUUUCUUCUUUAUGACACUAAAAGCACAGGCGACAAAAGAAAAAAGACGGAAAUUGGACUCCAAAAUGAAGAAUUUUGCACAUCAAAAGGCACUGUAAACAGAGUAAAAAGACAACCUAUAGGCCGGGCGCGUGGGGCUCACGCCUGUAAUCCCAACACUUUGGGAAGCCGAGGCAGGUGGAUCAUGAAGUCAGGAGAUCGAGACCAUCCUGGCUAACACGGUGAAACCUUAAAAAUACAAAAACAAAAUGAGCCGGGCGUGGUGGCGGGCACCUGUAGUCCCAGCUACUAGAGAGGCUGAGGCGGGAGAAUGGCGUGAACCCAGGAGGCGGAGCUUGCAGCGAGCCGAGAUCGCGCCACUGCACUACAGAGCAAGACUCCGUCUCAAAAAAAAAAAAAAAAGAAAAGAAAAAAAGACAACCUAUAGAAUGCGAGAAAAUGUUUGUAAAUCAAAUUCCUAAUAAAAAAUUAAUAUUCAUAAUAUGUAAAGGACUCCUAUAACUCAACAACAACAAUUAAAAACUAGGCAAAGGACUUCAAUAGACAUUUCUCCAAAUAAGUUAUACAAAUGGCCAAUGAGCCCAGGAAGAGAUGUUCAGCAUCACUAAUCAUUAGGGAAAUGGAAACCAAAACCACAGUGAGAUCCCACCUCACACCCAUUAGGAUGGCUACUAUCAAACAAGCAGAGAAUAGCAGGUGUUGGUGAGGAUGUAGAGGGAUUGGAAGGAACUCUUGCGCAUUGCUGGUGGAAAUGUAAAAUGGUGCAGCUACUAUGGAAAGCAGCACAGAAGUUCCUCAAAAACUUAAAAAUAGAAUUACCAUAUGAUCCAGCAAUUUUGUUUCUAGGUGCAUACCCAAAGGAAUUGAAGGCUGGAACUCAAAGAGUUAUUUGUACACCUAUGUUUGCAACAGCAUCAUUUACAGUAGUGUGAAAAGAUCACCGUGGGCAUGUUAACAUUUUAAAGCAUUUAUGUGAGCAGACAAUGAUUCAUGAAUCUGGUAGCACCAAACUGCAAGUAGUUUGGGCUCCACCAAGAGGGUGUGAGGGGAAAAUUGUUAAAAGGUGAUCAUGAAAGCAAGACAAAGAAAAUAUUUGAUUGGCUAAGGCAGGAAGUCUCCAGUUAGAGGUCAGCUGGAGGUUUCUGAUUGGUAAAUUCUGUAGUGAGAGGUUAGUUAGCAGUUUCUGAAUGGUUAAGCUGGGGUUUCAUUUUCCCAGGCUAUGGUCACUCACACUGAAUGGGGUUUCAGUUUGCUUAUGUAGGAAUCCAAGGUGCUGGGUUCUCAGCCAAAUGGACUCCAAAUUAAUUGUUUUUAACAAUAGCCAAAAGGUUAAUCAGCUCAAAUGUCCACUGAUGGAAUGAGUCAAUUAAUUUGUUUACUUGUCCAUGAAUGAGUAAACAAAAUGUGGUAUAUACAUACAAUUAAAUAUUAUUCAGCCUUAAAAAGGAAGAAAAUUCUGACCCAUGCCAUAAUGUGGAUGAACUUUGAAGACAUUACGCUAAGUAAGAUAAGCCAGUCACAAAAAUAACAAACUCUGUGUGAUUCCCCUCAUAGGGGGUCCAUAGUCAAAUUCAUAGAAACAGAAUAGUGGUUGUGGGGGCUGGGCAGAGGGGGAGUCAUUGUCUAAUUUGUGGUGUUAAAUUAAGCUUAGCCUAAAGCUGACUGCUUACAUAUUUUAAGUUUAGCCUAAAGAUCCCUCCAUACAUGGUGAACUGUCUCCUAACUGGAUGUAUGAACAGAUUGUAACCUACUCUUGUACCAGUCACUGAGUUUCUGCAAAUCAAAGGUGACCAGACCCUGUUUAAAUACGGCAAACAUUGAGCUGUAGCCAAUACAGUAGUUUCUGCACCUCACUUCCAGUUUCUGUACAUUACUUUCCUUUUUCUGUCCAGCGAUCUUUGACCAUGCUGCAGCAACGGGGUCUCUCUGAACCUAUUCUGGUUUAGGAGACUGCCCAAUUCAUGAAUCUUUCUUUGUUCAAUUAAACUCUGUUAAAUUUAAUUUAUCUGAAGUCUUUAUUUUAACAAUUACAGAGUUUCAGUUUUGCAAAAUAUAAAGAGUUCUGUGGAUAGAUGGUGGUGAUGGUUUCACAACAAUGCAAUGGUAGUCAAUGCCACUGAUCCAUACCCUUAAACAGAGUGAAAAUUGUCAAUUUUAUAUUAUUUUAUCACAAUAAAAAGAAAAGGAGGUCAGAGCUGAGCCAUCAGGCAACAGCCUCCAGAGUGUUGCUCUGUCAUUGUGUGCUGUUGAAGCCCCCGGUGCUUCCCUGACCCCUCCAUGGCAGACCUGAAGGUUCGGCGCUCUUUUCUAGCCUGUGAGUGCCCCGUUAUGUUUACCAUCAAGUCCUCUUUCGGACGAAGUCACCCAGGGUAGGCUUCCUUUUGCCAAAGAGCAUUCCCUGAAAUGCCAGCAUUCUACAUAAAGUGGCUGCAGCUAUCUGCCUACCAGAGAGCCAUCCCCAAAUUGUUCUAUGGAAAAAAGAAUACCUGCCGUUUGCUUGCCACCCCUUAUGCACCCUGCUGCCACCUCGUUCCAGGGUCAUCCUAAGCCCUCCAGAAUGAAGAUUUAUUUGGCAGUACAUUCAUGUUUUUAUUUUGGUUUCUGUCUAAUAUUCUUUCCUAUUUUCAUUCCUGUAGUGGCAGGUACCACAGCUCAUGGGCCAGUAAAAGCUACCAAUUGCACCAGUCCUGAUUCCUGGGCAUGAUGUGAUAGUCUUCACUCAUCCUGUCUGGGAAACGGAGGUUCAAAAAUCAAACUUUGAAACAUUGCCUUGAAUGGGACAACAUAGACUCUGGCUCUGCUCCUCUAACAUCAUGGUCUCUGCUGAAUUAUGGAGGAAGGACCUCUGUUGUCUGCAAUAGAAAGCCUUGAGAUUCACGAUACUGGCUAGAGUACACUGAGCCAUACGGACACAAAUGCACUAUUUAGCAGGGAAAUUGAAUUGAAAUCCAAGUGCAUUUUUCAAGCUCUGGCGUACUGCGCUGCAGCAUUUCUCCUAAAUGAAUUGAACACAUUUUGGCCUUAGCUGCAUGCAAACAUGUCUAAAAAAAUCAAGUACACACCUGGCAGGCAGUGUGUUGGUUAAAAGGGUCUCAGGUCUCCUAGAAAUUGCCAUGCAAGAACCAGACUUUUUUCCAGCUGUAUGCAAAUUAACCAUCAGCAUCUUUAAACAAAGCAAAAUAUUAACUGAAAAAUCGAGUGUCUCAGCUACAACACAGAAUAGGUGUUCACAGAUUUUUGUUUAAUACAGGGCCCUCUUAAAAAGUCCCAUUUUUAUCUAUGAUGUAAUCCAGAGAAUGUGUAUGAUUUUUUUCCUCCCUACCUGUCCACCAAAAUCAAAUCAAAGGCCUUUUUCCUCAAGGAAGUUUCCACAUUACGCAACAGCCAACCAUGUCAAGAGCUGAUUUGCAGGCUGAGCUCAGUCACAUUAGGGACUUCUUCCUAUGCAAGCGGGGCUGUUGAAGUCAACAGUGAGAUUAGUAAGGGGGAGAGUCAUGCACCUGGAAACAAAAACCUGGACCCUCCUCGUAGCCCUGCAAAACGACGCUGACAGUGUGCAAGCUCUCCCUUCCCUGAGCCUCUCUGUCCUCCUCUGCAACCCUGCCUCAAGCGGUCAUUUUCAGGAUUGCACUGAAAAUCUGACAAAGCAGGAAGCUGAUAUGGUCUACAGAGGUACUGAAUUGAGGUAAACAGAAAUUUCAGAGGCCACCUCUGCAUGGAGAAGCUACAAGCAGAACCGUUCAGUGCAUCACCACCUCGGACCACACCUCCCCAAGUCAUCCAGACCCCAGAGCCGCCUUUUUCUGUUGUUUUGUUUUUUCUUUAGAGACAGAGUUUUGCUCUAUUGCUCAGGCUGGAGUGCAGUGGCAUGAUUAUGGCUCACUGCAGCCUUGAACUCCUGGGCUCAAGCCAUCCUCCCACCUCAGCUUCCUAAGUAGCUAAGGCUGCAGGCUCUCACCACCUUACCUGGCUAAUUUCUUUUCUUCCUUUUUUUUUUUUUUUCUUUUCAUAGAGACAAGGUCUGGCUGUGUUGCCCAGGAUGAUCUCAAACCCCUGGCCUCAAGUGAUCCUCCCACCUUGACUUCCCAAAGUGCUGGGAUUACAGGCAUGAGCCACCGUGCCUGGCAAAGCCUCUUGGCCAAAAUCCCCACUCCAGUGGCUGCCAAGAAGCUGGUCUCAAAAAUCCUAUCUGUUCAAUGGAUGAAAAAUCCAGCUUCCUUAUACAAUGGAAUACUACAUGACAAUGAAAAGGAACAAUGCACUGAUGCACGCAGCAACGUGGAGGAAUUUCACAGCCAUUGUGAUAAGCAAAACAAGACAGACACAAAAGACAUGCUAUAGGGAUUCCAUUGAUUGGGCAUGCUAGAAAAGGCUAAGCUAAUUUAGAGUUACAGAAAGCAGACUAAUGGUUGUUGGGGAUUGGGGCUUGACUGCAAAGGGACACAAGGGAAACUUUUUUGGACACUGGAUAUAUUCUAAAUUUCAAUUGUGAUAGCAGAUAUACAAAUGUAUAUAACUUGGUCAAAACUCAAUGAACUAUACAACUUACCGUGAAUUGUGCAGUGUGUGUUAUAUAAACUAUGCCUCAAUAAAGUCAACAAGAAGAAUCCUGUCAGGAUGACUAAGACUUUCUAUGUGAAAACCCCCUUUCUAUGUGUUCCUCUUUAAAUACAUGCCCCCUUGUUCUCUCUGAGGGCAUAGAUAGUUUUGCUGCCACUUAAACCUGAAUUAUAGUUAUCCUCAUCACAAAAUGUUGUCUGAGAAAAAUAUGUAGGCUCUGCACUUACUUUCUGUGUGACUUUGAGUAUAAUACUUCACCUCUCUGUGAUUCAGUUUCCACAUGUGUACUAUGGAAACAGCAGUACAAAGAGGGCUCAGCAACACAGCUUACACAAGAGAGCCCAGCCCAGAGCUGGGUAUAUGCUGUGUGCUCAAUAAACCCUGGUUUCCCAUCUUCAUGCCAUCAGUUAUGGCUCUUUAGAUUCCAUAUAACAGAACAUCUGGCCCAAUUUAUUCAGAGGUGAGACUAAUGGCAGAAGAGCCCAGAGAUUGUACUGACUCCAGAAGGUCAGCAUCGAGGCCAGGCACUGGAUUUCUCUCCCUCUCUCUGCCAUGCACUUGGGUAUGUCAGCAUAAUCCUCUGGCCCCAUGUGCUGCACUCCCUCCCAGCAGCACCCACCUCUCCCUUUGGGCCUCCAGAGCUCUCUGCCUCCCAUGCCAUCCUGAAGGCCCUCUCUCUGUCCCCAGUUGGAACACAUGCCUUUUGUCUUAGCCAAGAACUGCAGCUAUGGGCACGUAACAUGCUAGUAGGAUUAAGCAAAUCAUUCUGGAGCUGAAAUCUGGAUUCUAUGCUCUCCAACCAAGUGGCUGCUACAAACUGGGGUACAAGUGACUGCUUCUCUCAGCAGAAGAAGGGGAGUAAUGAUAUGGGAAGAUAAUCAACGAAUGUCCAUUGAACACAUUCUGUCUGUCAGGGAGUUCAUCAGGAAACAGAAAAUACAGAAGUUAUUUUAACAGAGGAUUUAAUCUAAAGAAUUGUUUAAACAGGUGACAGAACACUGAAGCCAUCACAGUGUAGCAACUGCAGGAAUCAGCUACCAUUCCUAAUACCAGGGGAAUGAAGAGGAGAGGCUGGGAUUAUGAAAUCGGAGAGACUCGGGGAAAAGAGAGCACUUUUUGGCUGGUGCUCCUGGCCCUGAGCUUAGAGGAGAGGCCCUUUGGUUCCAGGACCCAGAACCCCGAGGAGAGGUGCUGGGAUCUCUAAAGGGGUGUAAUGGGGCUGAAUCAGGGUGUGUGGAAAAAACCUAGCUCUUGGAUGAAGAAGCAAGGCUGUAGUGAUGCCAACAAGAAUAAGAUGCAGACAGGAAGGGACAUGUCUCUCCUUCUGCUUUCAGUCUUUCCUCCCUCCCUGGGUCUGCAUUAGAGCCAGCUGGCAAAGCACAAAUGUGGCUUACAGAGUCAUAGAAUCACAAAGCAUUGCACAAAAAAAUUGGGUUUGGAGCAGACAGACGAUUACUUAACAACUAGCCCCCAAACUAUUCCACAAUCAGGGUAUCAGUGAGGACAUUUUCGCUGCAAGAAGUAGUAACUCCAACUUAAUUAGCUUAAGCAAUGAAAACAUUUUCUUCCCCAGGAAGAGCUACUCCAGAUUUGCUUAAUAAUUCAACUGUUCAACAUUGCUGUUAAGGACAACGUUUUUCCCAUCUUGGAGGAGAUGCUUCUUGGUUCUGGAACCCAGAACACUAAGGGGGAGUGCUGGGGUCCACACUGUGGAUAUGUGUGUGGAUAUAUCACAUAUGUGGAUAUGCAUAUAGGCACCUCAGGGGAUUUGCUGUCAUGCAUAUACAUAUAUACUAUAUGUGUAUAUAUAUAUGCUGUAUAUAUGGGUGUGUAUAUAUAGAAAGAAAAUUUAUUUUAUUUUUUAAUUUUUAUUUUUAGUUCUGGGGUACACAUGCAGGAUGUGCAGGUUUGUUACAUAGGUAAAUGUGUGCCGUGGUGGUUUGCUGCACCUAUCAAGCAAAUUCAUUAUAAAUAUACUGACAUAAAGGAUGUGUAGAGCAAAAUUUACAAAUGAUUAUAAAUUUUACAAUACUCCUUAUUCUAAGUUUCAUAUAGGCAACUGGUUCUCACAGGAUACUUUCAUUGAUUUUUGCCAAACUCUUGGAUUCUUAGCCAACCUAUGGUUGCAACUGAUCAAGUUUAGUUCAGGCAUCACCUUGCUUGAUGUAGUAAGACAAACUGAAACCAUAAAGAUGUAUGUGUGAACUUCACUUAUUAGCCAAUAACAUGAGCAUCUCCCAUAAUUGAGCUAAAAAAAAAAUCUCUAUCUGGAGCCCUCUUUCCACCGGGGUGAUUGAAUGUUUAUCUUAGUUAAUUCGAAGUUUACCUACCUCCUCAUUUUCUAGGGAUUACAUCUAAUUUCCAGGACAUAGUGGGAGGGCCCCUGUGAUCUUGCGACAGUUCAAAGAGCUCACUGGUUACAUAGUUGCUCAUCCGUCUGUCAGUACUUGUGUUUACACAUCCCUCAUUCCUGUCCGUGGGACACUUUGGAUCUGCUAGCUGUUUUCAUAUCCCACACUGAGAGCCCAAGAAUCUCCAUGAAGCGAAGUCCCCAUCUCCCAAGACUCAUCACCAUGCUCUGUCAGGGAAGCAGGAUGCAGAUUCCUUCUCCGUGGAGCACAUUAAUAUCUGAGUUUUCCACGUUUUCCCUCUGCUCUCCUCUUCCUUCAGCCUGAUGAAAUCAUUUCCAUUCUGUGGGAGCAGUAAAUCCUGACAUGCCUUAAACGCCCUGAUCCAGUUUAGCUGAGAGUGCAAGGGAAACUGGCUCACUCUUUGAAGAAAAAUAAAGCUGAAUUCCUACCUCUCAUACCGCAUACAAACUCUAGACAGAUUUUAGAUUACAUUUUACCUUCUAGAUGAAUGAAAGACCUGAAUGUGAGGUGUAAACUAUACAACGAAAGCAUUAAACAUUAGAGCAAACCUUUUAAGCCCAGUGUUGAGGGAGACCUUCUCUAAUAAGACGUCAAAAGGCCAAAACAAAAGAAAAACAAAUUAAUGGAUUUAAUUACACCGAUGUUCGAGAUAAUCUGUUCAACAAAAGUACACUGGAGACAAAACUAACAGGAGGAUGACAGGUUGGGGGAAGAUAUUAGCAAUGUUUUUGGCAGACUGGGAACACUUACAAAGAUAUAAAGAAAGGAAAAAAGGCAACAAACAUAAAGAAGUGCUAAUAAGUAGAGGAGAAGAUUCUCAAAUUUUUUAAUAACCAAAGAAAUACAAAUUAAAAUGACAAUAUAGCACUUUAUUCCCAUUAGAUUGGCAAAACUUAGAAAGAAGAAUAACACCAGGUCUUGGUGAGAUAUGAAAAAAACAGGAGCAUUUUUGCACACUGGUGAUGAGUUAUACAAUGACAUCAUUCUGGAAAGUCCUCUGACAGUGCUAUCUAAAUUAGACAGGCAGGUAUCUACAGAAAUUUCACCCUUGGAUAUGUUUCUGGAGUCCUUAUUAAACAAGACCAUAAUUGGAUAUACGUUAAUAAGUUUUUGCAGGGUUUAUGGUACUGAGAAGUACCACAACACAUCCUAGGUAGUAGAUAAGUAAAAUGCAUCCUAGGUAGUAGGUAAGUAAAACGUGGUGGCUCUACUCCAGGGAAUUUUAUCAGGAGUUAGAAAGAACAAACUAGAUCUAUACAAAACAACAUAAACAGAUCCCAAGCACUCAGAAGUGAGUGACAAGUGAGAAAGCAAAUGGGAUCUCCAAAAGAAUACCAUUUUUAUAACUUAAAACCAUAGGCCCAAAGCAUUACAUAUUCUGCAAAGAUAUUUUGUAACGUGUUAGAGCUGUUGCCUACAGAGGACAGGAAAACAGAAAUGGAGGGCGGGAAUAAAGUGAAUGAUUUCUUUCAAACAUCUUGUCUCCAUUCAGACUUUCUCCAUCCCCCUAAGGAUUCAGAUGUAUUGACCCUAGAGUUCUGAGUCUAGAGCCUUUCUUUCUGCCUUGAUGCAGCUUAUCAUUGAGAAAAUUAGCCCAGAACAGCUCAGCCAUUUGAUGAGGAAGGAGAGGAAUAGCAAAGGGAGUUGGGGGUUGGAUCAGUUAAUCAGCUAACCAGCCAAAAUCUCGAUAUAUUAUCCCUCCACGAAUGUUUCAGGGUUCUUGGUGAGAGUUUUCAAAUCCAUAACAAAAUAACCAGAAAAAGAAUGUCUACUCUGUGUUGCAAUUUGCCUAUGACUUGGAUGAGUCUGUUUCAAAUGACCCUCCGUGAGGACUGCCACAUUCAGUUGUGCAGCCUGUGCACUGCACAAAGGUGCUCCUGCCCAGGGGAGCAGGAGGAAGCUGGAAUUCACCAGGGACUCUGCUUACGAGCUGGGCCUGCCUGGGCCUCUUUCAAUCAUAGCCUGGGGCUCUUUCAAUCUUAGAGAGGAGCCUCAGGAGGUCAGCUGUAACUUGUCUGCCAGAAAGGGUAACCUUGCGAAAUUCCUACAAUGGUGCUGUAUGUACUUGCUGGAGCCCUGACUUAGUUUACCCUCAGCCUCCCCAUGUCUCAGUCUGGUCAACAUCCUUAUCAGAAAUUCACACUAGCUUCCUUUACAAUCUGCCUUUAGGACAGUCCUGAGGCAAAUUUCACUUGUUCUUCCCUCUGCCUGGAAUGCUCUUCCCCAGAUAGCCACACGGCUCACUCUCUUCCUUCACUCAGGCCUCUGCUCCAACAUCCCCUCUACAGAGAGGUCUUCCCUCCACAUCUCCUCUAAAAUAGGCCCCCAUCCUGCCUUGCUCUCACCUCUCAUCCCACAUUCUUCAUCCUGCUUAUCAC
Molecule: long non-coding RNA, 10779 nt
Filed under: Homo sapiens (human)
Lineage: Eukaryota; Metazoa; Chordata; Mammalia; Primates; Hominidae
Description: HSALNT0098319
Source: RNAcentral